GCCUUCGUGGUGUAGUGGUUAGCAUGCUCGACGCGUAACCGAAAGGUCCGUGGUUCGAUUCCCGGCGAAGGCG
This 73-nucleotide transfer RNA is filed under the name Stegodyphus mimosarum. It matches the Rfam family "tRNA". Rfam says of the family: Transfer RNA (tRNA) molecules are approximately 80 nucleotides in length. Their secondary structure includes four short double-helical elements and three loops (D, anti-codon, and T loops). The record is from Rfam by way of RNAcentral. Lineage: Eukaryota; Metazoa; Arthropoda; Arachnida; Araneae; Eresidae.